RNAcentral lists this ribosomal RNA (253 nucleotides) under uncultured bacterium. RNAcentral's name for it is "partial 16S ribosomal RNA". It matches the Rfam family "Bacterial small subunit ribosomal RNA", at positions 524 to 776 of the family's 1533-position model. The record is from RNAcentral.
UACGGGGGGGGCAAGCGUUGUUCGGAAUUACUGGGCGUAAAGGGUUUGUAGGUGGCCCGCUAAGUCACACGUGAAAUCCCUCAGCUUAACUGGGGAACUGCGUGUGGGACUGGCAGGCUCGAGGGCAGGAGAGGAACGCGGAAUUCCAGGUGUAGCGGUGAAAUGCGUAGAUAUCUGGAGGAACACCGGUGGCGAAGGCGGCGUUCUGGACUGUCUCUGACACUGAAGAACGAAAGCCAGGGGAGCAAACGGG